GACGAACGCUGGCGGCGUGCUUAACACAUGCAAGUCGAACGGAAAGGCCUGCUUUCCCUUGUGGAUUGCGGGUACUCGAGUGGCGAACGGGUGAGUAACACGUGAGUGAUCUGCCCCCAACUUGGGUAUAAGCCUGGGAAACUGGGUCUAAUUCCCGAUAGGACUGCAGGGUGGUGCCUGUGGCAGAAAACGAUUUUCUAGUGGUUGGGGAUGAGCUCGCGGCCUAUCAGCUUGUUGGUGGGGUAAUGGCCUACCAAGGCGGCGACGGGUAGCCGGCCUGGGAGGGUGGACGGCCACAUUGGGACUGAGAUACGGCCCAGACUCCGACGGGAGGCAGCAGUGGGGAAUAUUGCACAAUGGGCGGAAGCCUGAUGCAGCGACGCCGCGUGGGGGAUGACGGCCUUCGGGUUGUAAACUCCUUUCGACCGCGAGGAAGCCACCUGGUUGGAAGGGUGGUGACGGUAGUGGUAGAAGAAGCACCGGCUAACUACGUG
RNAcentral lists this ribosomal RNA (494 nucleotides) under uncultured bacterium. Its description in RNAcentral is "partial 16S ribosomal RNA". It matches the Rfam family "Bacterial small subunit ribosomal RNA", at positions 28 to 507 of the family's 1533-position model. The record is from RNAcentral.